GGGAGGAAGAAAUGGAUUAAUUUGUUUAUUGAGAAAACACUUGAUGUUGGAUCGAGUUUUUAUUUUUGAUCCUUUAGAAAUGGUUGAUUUUAUUCUUGUGUUAUUAGCUAACUAAACAGUCAAGCAAAUAAAGAAAUAAAAAGUGAUAAAAUUAUUACAUGCCAUGGGAGUGGGGGUACAUUUUAUCGAAUGGGGAUUCAAAGUAAUGAAAUAAUUAAAUCGGAUCAAUCAAUGAAUAAACAAGGCAUGAGUGUAGGUGUAAGAGAACUGUCUCAUUGUAAGAAGGCCCAAGAGUAAGCCAUGCGAAGAAAAUAAAUAACACAACAAGUUAUAUUCACAAGGCACUCAAAAAUUAAAUUGAAAGAAACAACAUCGGGACGUGCACGGAUAAAAAUCGGGAUGCGAGGAUGUGAAUCAAAGUCACAUAACGCAAGAACGUGCACAGAGGUGGAAAUUGAAAAGCAAACAUGAAACCUAGAUAAUGUGCUCAAAGCCGGUUUGCACAUAUUGACAAUAAUUGAAAUGUCAUAUGCGAUUAAUCAUAACACGGCAAAAUUCUAUUGAUAUUUCGAUAAAAUAAUUAUAGAUAAACAACAUGAGAGUUAUUGAAUCCAUAAAUUAAAAUCGAUGCUUUGUCAAUUAAAAAUAAAUAAAAGGGAAAGCAUUACAAAAUAAGUAUAGGAGAAAUUGGGUUAAGACAUAAACAUGAAAAAUUAACAAUAGGAAGUUAAAUGCUAAAAAAACAAAAUGCCACAAGUGGGAUUCAAACCCACUACAAAAGGGGAGAUGAACUAACUCCAUCUCCACCCGAACACAAGUUGUUUACUGCUAGGCUACGACCAACAAAUACCUAAGUGCUAACCGAGAAAGAAAAAAAAAACAACAAUAAACCAACAAAAAUGGGUCGCUGGAUUUCUAUGGGAUCCAAGAGUCAACCCUAGCCACAUGGUUGUGGGGUUAGAAAUAAGACAAGUUUCCAUCAUUGAUGGCUAGCUGUUAGCUUUUAAUGCAAAACGACUAAAAUGAACAGUCAAGAGACUUGGUUAGAGCAUAUUAGACAGGUGUCAAUUUCCAACGGAAGAAAACAUUAAAAUCAAUCAUAAAAAAACGUAGAGAAGCAGCAAUCAAAUAAAAAAAGACAUUCAUACCAAUCUCACUCCCUCACGAGAAAUCCAAACUGUCACAACGAAAUCCAAUGGCGGUUGAGAAGGUAAUGCUAAAAACUCUCUUCCGAAUGCUCUAUUGUUGGUCGGUUCACCCUCCUCCUGAACCCGCUCACUUGCUUCGCCUUUUCACCUUCUACUCUGUGUCUUUGUUGUCGGUAUUGAAUCGGUUUUGAGUGACAAAGCUUAGCUCAGGCCGAUUACGUUUUUAAGUGAUUGCUCAACAAAUCUUCUGAAAAAUGGAGCUUUGAGUGACGUUCACCAUACGUUUCUGUAGGGAAACGGUAGGGUUUUCUUUCUCUCUUUUCUAUCUGAUUUUUUCUUUGUGAACAGUAUCGGCGCCCCCCUUUACAAUUAGGGUUGGUGUCCUUUUUAUAUGUGUGGAAAGUGAGUACAACCGGUGCGCAAGAACACGUCAGUGGGGUUUUUGAAUCAAUCUCUUGCUAGCGGUUUUUGUCCUCAAGCCCUGAUUCAAAGAAUCCUUUUUGAGUGGUGGUGAGAGUGUGUACGGGAAUCCUUGGGAUUUUUGUCUUUGUCUGCCUUGUGGUCCCCCUUCCACUCCCAGCUUAAACCUUUACCGUUAGUAAUUGGCUAUUUACUGUUGUGAAUUCUUGCUUUAUGAAAUUAUUAACUCAUGUAUUAUGCUGCAGAUGGGAUGAAACACUUUUGCAGGGCAAGGUCUUGUGAAGGGUGGUGAGUGUGGAGCUCUUCGCAACAUUCUCAGAGGAUCCUCCAGUGGAAGGCCACUGUGGUCAAUCAAAUCAAACAGCGCCGAGUAACGCUUCAACUAAUUGCAGACUCUUGAGUCCAGCCUCGCCUUGUUGUGUUCCGCUUCUUGUUCUACAAUAACGGUAAUUGUAGGAUUGAUGCUGCGAAUGAGACCCAAAAAGUCUCUCAAUGCUCCUCCACUGCCAUCAUGGAGGGUCUUGUGGAGCUGGAAAACACAGUUCACAGCCACAGUUUCAUGUUCCUAAAACUCAACAUCUCUUUGUACAAUUCUUCUGCUAAGAUGUUCUUCCUCUAAAUCGAUGUCACCCAUCUAGGCCAUGAUUUGCAACUUCCAACAAAAGCUUGCUCGCAUCUCGACUCUAAGCACUCACUCACGUAGUCGAAUAAAACCUUCCUAUCAAGCUUAGAGUACUCUUCUCCUCAGUAUGUUGUUGUUCCAGUACUGUGAUUCUCCAACAGAUCGAAGAGAUUUGGCAUUAUGAUUGUGUUAGUUCGACCCAUGAGGAAUUCUUCUGCCAUGAACUCUGCAUUGCCGAGUAUGUUCUGUACAUAGUCAAGUUCCAUAAUGCCUGAUCUUUUAAAAUCUACCAUGUUCGGUGAUCUGAUUAUUUGUGUGACAGACAUGUUACGUGCAGUAGAUACGGAAGAGCUUUGCUCUAACGACGUCGCUUCAUUUUCAAGUGAUUCAGAUCCGUUUAUCUGGGAAAUGUUAGAUACUUCCUCAUCUUGCAUGGAUGAAUAAAUCGUGCUGCCAUAUGUACUAUCUUCACUAUCCAUGUAACUUUCACUAACAGAAGGACCUUGAAAGUUUGUAUCAGCAUUGGAAUACUGAAAACCAAGACCAUUUCCACUUUCAUCGUUGCUACUAUAGCUAGGAUCUUCUCUUACUUCCGAUGUCUGUAGUUGUUGAUUCGUGUUAAGCACUAGCUCGUCAAUUGAAUAAUAUCGAUAGUUAUGCAUUCUAUCAAGUUCAUCACUGAACAUUUCAUCUUGUUCCUUAUCUAUGGUGUUUACGAUACUGGAUGCUUUAUCUUACAAACUAGAUCUCAAAUCAGUAGAUGGCUCCUCCGAGGCUAGGGUACAUUGAGGUAAGUUAAGUCUCGGUGUUAAUUCUUGAAGCUUUUACUCCAACAGAACACUCAAUGUAUCACUAUCUAUCAUAUGUGUCGGAGAUAGUGAUAAUUUUUUGGGAUGAAGAUUAUCAUUGUGCCCGAGAGAGUCGACACCAGAUCUAGUUCUGGUUUUCGUCACCUAGUCAGAGGAUAGUGACUCCGGCAUGCUUUUCCUCAAGGGAGAUGUAAAUGUAAAUGAAAUAACAUCACUGCUUUCGUUCAUGUUAAAUGCAUUCUGAUCAAUACUUCCAUCAGUCGUAUAAUUGCAUUUUAUGGACUUGCUUUCGAAAUCGCUUUUUGCAUGAUCGGGACUUCUUGCCUCGUGAAAACCUUCGUUGUUAUACUUUUUCUCUUGGGAAAUACUUUGUGUUUUGGAUGGAGGAAACUCCUUUCGGUUAUCAGUUACCCUAGAGCCUGACCUUUUAGGAGGAAUAUUGACAUUCGUAGCACUCUUGUUUGUUGCCUUCCUAAUUCCGGUAGAACUUUCAGAAGAAGAACCUCGCGUUGUUGGCUUGUUUGAAUCUAUUUUUGAGGCUGAUUUACCUUUGGAAAUCAUGCCGUUUUGCUUUUGAUUAUUCUGAAUCAGCACAUUGCUGUUACGACUUGCAUUCGUUUUCUGCGGCAAUGCUCGGUUUAUAAUUGGUUUUUGGCUUUGAUAGUGACCAUUGUGAUUUGGUUUAAUUUUUGUAGGGCCACAGUUGUGUUUGCUGUAGUGACCAUGCCGCUGGACUAACCAGUUGUACCAGCAUUUGCCGUUUGAGUUUGGGUCUUUUCUCGGGAUAGAAACCAG
RNAcentral lists this long non-coding RNA (3794 nucleotides) under Lathyrus oleraceus (garden pea). RNAcentral's name for it is "Pisum sativum (pea) long non-coding RNA (PSAT_LNC041761)". The record is from RNAcentral. Lineage: Eukaryota; Viridiplantae; Streptophyta; Magnoliopsida; Fabales; Fabaceae.